CCUACGGGGUGCAGCAGUGGGGAAUAUUGGACAAUGGGGGGAACCCUGAUCCAGCGACGCCGCGUGAGUGAAGAAGUAUUUCGGUAUGUAACGCUCUAUCAGCAGGGAAGAAAGAAAUGACGGUACCUUACUAAGAAGCCCCGGCUAACUACGUGCCAGCAGCCCCGGUAAUACGUAGGGGGCAAGCGUUAUCCGGAUUUACUGGGUUUAAAGGGAGCGUAGACGGCGAUGCAAGUCUGAAGUGAAAGGCGGGGGCCCAACCCCCGGACUGCUUUGGAAACUGUAUGGCUGGAGUGCAGGAGAGGUAAGUGGAAUUCCUAGUGUAGCGGUGAAAUGCGUAGAUAUUAGGAGGAACACCAGUGGCGAAGGCGGCUUACUGGACUGUAACUGACGUUGAGGCUCGAAAGCGUGGGGAGCAAACAGGAUUAGAUACCCCUGUAGUC
RNAcentral lists this ribosomal RNA (443 nucleotides) under uncultured bacterium. Its description in RNAcentral is "partial 16S ribosomal RNA". It matches the Rfam family "Bacterial small subunit ribosomal RNA", at positions 338 to 795 of the family's 1533-position model. The record is from RNAcentral.